This 1625-nucleotide long non-coding RNA is filed under the name Olea europaea (common olive). RNAcentral describes it as "long non-coding RNA (OEUR_LNC011487)". The record is from RNAcentral. Lineage: Eukaryota; Viridiplantae; Streptophyta; Magnoliopsida; Lamiales; Oleaceae.
CAUCAAGAAUAGUUGAAAACCAAGAGUUGCAUCAGUACUACUAAAAAUAGUCUAACGGAAAAAAGAAGCCACCAAAAUGAGUGAACUAAUAAAGCAAAGCAUACCUUCUCCAUCGUAUACAAGUAAGCUGGUUCAAAUGCCUUGCUUCUCUUUUCAAGCCACUUCACUGUGAUAUUAACAUCAAUCACAAUCAAAUAUGACAAGAUUACAAUUACUAAGCUCUAAGCUGUCAUCAAACACCUUCAUACACUCUAUCAAUAUCUAUAUAUCCACAGAAUAAGAAGGUAGCUUAUUCUAGUCCUGUCAUCCAUAAAAAGUAAGCUGAUAACACCCAUAGUAAUCACUCAAUUUAUGAGUACUCAUUUUCUUGAUAAGAACUCAACAAAAUUCACUUAAGAAUUUCAAACAAUUAAAAUGAUGCCCAAUCGGCACCAGAUGGAAACAGAAAUCAUGAUGUCAUUGAAUCACUACAUUAGACAACAAGGUAAAUAAAUUGAUAGACUGAUAUCAGAUGGAAACAGAAAUCAUGACAUCAGCUGAAUAAAGAAUAUGUAGUGAGAAACAUAUCCUACAAGAUAAACUAGGAGUUUGGUCGUGUACCUUACUCCAAAUUUAUGAAUGUCGACUUUCAAGUAUUCUCUUCUCAAAUAUAUUAUUAUAUACCAAAAUGCGGAAGAGCAUAAAAGCAUCACCAUACAUAGGUAUCUUGCUAUAUGCAUGACUUAGGAACAAGAGAAGAUUACAUUCUUAACUUUUCUGAAGUAAUUUUGCCAAUAUUAUGCCAGAUGUUAUUUCUUCAGGCACUUGCCAAGUGGUAGACUGUGAGAUAAUGUUGAAACACUAUAUUGCCAACCACACUGUCAAGCCUCUGUGAACUUGACGCUCAUUAAAAAUCAGUUGGAGGUACAAAAUUCCAUCUCUUACCAAUUUGCAUCUAUCUUUAUAUCCUCGCAAAACUCACUGUAAAAAAAUAAGAAAUAAUUUUAAAUUUGUUUAAAAUCUUCAGAUUUUUACUAGUAAACUUAUUGCACUAUAAAGCUAUGAAUAAUUAUGCUCAACAUCUAGCCUGUCUCAUUUGAGUAAACCAAAAGCUAAGAAAAUAAAAGGGAGAGACAAAAAAUUAAACUACGUAUGGUGAAAUUUUUCAUUUUUAAUCAACCUUUUAAUAUAGGGGAAACAGCCGUUUACAAGUCAAUAAGCACAAAUAUCGUUCUCUAAUGGUUUCUUUUGCACCCAUUUCUGUCUUUGGUUGCAAUCAAGAAUCUGCUACAACGAUUUGGAUUUCAUCUUUCUUAGAGAAGCAAUAGAACAUUUUACUCAAGCUAGAAAUAGUCUAAUUGACAAUUAGACAAUGGCGUUCAUGAAGCAAUACUCCUACAAAGUGUUGGAGAUCAAAUAUAAAUAAAUCACCUCCCUCCUCUCCAAAAGAAAGUACAAGCUUUUUGAUGAUGUGGUUUGAUAUGGCAUCAAAUCAAACAAAGAUUAUGAAUUCAAAUCUCACCACUACUCAAUUGUAAAAAUUCCACGUGAGGGGUGUGUGUGUUGAACCACCUCUGCUAAAAUCUCAAGCUCUUAUUGAGAGGAUAAAUAUUUUUAUUUAAAUUGCCUUAAACACCCCCCCCCCC